Molecule: long non-coding RNA, 357 nt
Filed under: Phoenix dactylifera (date palm)
Lineage: Eukaryota; Viridiplantae; Streptophyta; Magnoliopsida; Arecales; Arecaceae
Description: long non-coding RNA (PDAC_LNC005143)
Source: RNAcentral
UGAGGGCUUUCUGGUCUGGAUUUGGCAGUGACGUUGGCGACAACGAGGUUGAGGAGGACGGCAAUGAGAACGAUGACGAAGAGAGAGGCGAUGUUGUAGGUGAGGCGGAAGGCCCAGAUGAAGGUGACCAUAAGGUGGCGCUAUACCUUGUGGACGACGGAGAGGAUCUUGGCGAAGGAGAGCUCCUUGGCAGUGUAGAUGAAGGUGACAGAGUAGACGACAACGGAGGUGGAGAGGACGAAGAGGACGAGAAGGGCACGGAGGUAUGUGACCUUAAAGAGGAGAAAGGCGAACCAUUCAGACGAGAGGCAGAAGAGGAUGGCGGAUUAAGAGGGGGAGCCUAGGGGGGCAUCGUCG